AGUGUCAGCCACGUCUAGCGCACAGUCCCAGGCCCCAGGGCGAAGGCGGCUAGGGGAAAUGGGGCUCAGGGAUUGCUAAGCAAACGCAUCACUGGUGGUCUCCAGCGCCUGCGGAGCAUCAAGCUUAUGAAGAUUUCCAAGUAAGACUUUAUUGUUGACCCUUGUUGAAGAGAACUCUACUUGGCUUCGUUCCUGGCUUUCCUAAAUUGUUCACAUACAAGAUAAACUACCAUCAUUCAGACUUACAGAAGUGAGAAGACAAGCUGAACCAAAUGUAAAAUGGUAGCAAUUUACAGGUAAUUCUAUAUCUUAAUUUCUCCCACAUUUUUAGGGUAAGAAAUUGUGAUAUAUGGGGGUUAUUUGGAUCACGCGUUUUCUAAGUAAAACUUUGUCGUGAUUAAUUUUAUGUAUUUAUAGUAGUUCUCCCUGUGUCCGUUUAUCCAAGCAACACAAUACAA
Molecule: non-coding RNA, 458 nt
Filed under: Pongo abelii (Sumatran orangutan)
Lineage: Eukaryota; Metazoa; Chordata; Mammalia; Primates; Hominidae
Source: RNAcentral